RNAcentral lists this ribosomal RNA (497 nucleotides) under uncultured bacterium. RNAcentral's name for it is "partial 16S ribosomal RNA". It matches the Rfam family "Bacterial small subunit ribosomal RNA", at positions 28 to 507 of the family's 1533-position model. The record is from RNAcentral.
GAUGAACGCUGGCGGCGUGCCUAAUACAUGCAAGUCGAGCGAACAGACGAGGAGCUUGCUCCUCUGACGUUAGCGGCGGACGGGUGAGUAACACGUGGAUAACCUACCUAUAAGACUGGGAUAACUUCGGGAAACCGGAGCUAAUACCGGAUAAUAUAUUGAACCGCAUGGUUCAAUAGUGAAAGACGGUUUUGCUGUCACUUAUAGAUGGAUCCGCGCCGCAUUAGCUAGUUGGUAAGGUAACGGCUUACCAAGGCAACGAUGCGUAGCCGACCUGAGAGGGGGAGGGCCACCCGUGGAACGGAGCCCGGGCCCAGCCCCCCACGGGGGGCAGCAGGAGGGAAUUCCCGCAAAGGGGCGAAGCCCUGACGGCGCACCGCCGAGGGAGUGAGAAAGGUUUUCGGAUCGAAAACCUUUUUUAUGGGGAAAAAAAAAAGUUGUAAUAACCUCUGCACGUCUGGAGGUGCCCUAAUAAGAAACCCCCGGCUACCUCCGUC